Molecule: long non-coding RNA, 5432 nt
Filed under: Xyrichtys novacula (pearly razorfish)
Lineage: Eukaryota; Metazoa; Chordata; Actinopteri; Labriformes; Labridae
Source: RNAcentral
ACCUGAGGGUGCUGUUCUCGGGAUGGCUUCACCCAGCGAGGAGGCAGACGGCGUCCAUUCUAUACGCAGUCGAUGUGGUACACUGAGUCAACGGUUUGUAGGGUGGAUAUUGAUGCAUGCAUGUCCAGUAUAUCAGCAUAAUCAAUCACAGACAGAAAUGGAGCCUCCACAAGUUUGAUUAUUGGCAAUGGAAAGUACAUAUCUAAAAUAAAAGCUCCACUUUAGCUUUUUAAAAAGAGUCAUAACAUACAUUAAAUGAGGGUUUUUUGUUUAUCAAAAUAUACAAGUAGUUGUUCAAGGUCACAUUUCAAGGGUUUUCCAUCUGGAAAAGAUGCAAAGAAAAGAAGGAGGGGUGAAAAUAUGAAGCAUGUCAAAGGAUUUAUGCUGUGUUCCAUUUGUGCUUGGAUUUUCCGAGUUCCCAUUCAGAAAUUCACCUGGAACGCCCCCCUGAAGUUGAAUUUCUGACUUGUAAAGUCAGAUGAUCCUCACCAACCCCAACUUGAUGACAACUUCAUAAUCCAAGAUGGCAGCACAGUGCCUCAACAGUAAAGAGUAACAGUGAAAGCUCUCGUAAUGUAUUAUUUAUUAGCACUUCCGUUUUGUUUUAGUGAAAUUAAAUAAAUGGUAUAUGUUGCACUGCCCAAUGUCUAACUUUGAACAAGGUUCUAUAGUGUUUCUAAAAGGUCCUUUCACACUGGGACCAUUUUUGUCGUGCGAUUAUUUCAGACGUCAAUAUUUUUUUAUAACCCGUAUCCUGUCAAUACAAGCGUUCACAUCAGCUUCUGACCAAUCAGAUUUUCGUGCUGUUGCGACGUCAGCUUCACCAGUAUAUCCAACAUGGCAGAACAGAGUGCUUUUUGAUAAAAGACACAAAAUUUUGCAAAGAUAACAACCUGAAGGACAACUUGUGGAGGGUCAUAGCAUUUGAUUUCUCACAUGACAACGUUUUGUGUGCUUUAUCAGUUUGCUAAACGUCUCUGUUUUAACUUUCAUCUGUGCUAAGUAACUUUAGCUCGUAAGCUAACCUGUUCAGAUACAACAUACCAUAUGUAUUUUCACUGUCUCAAACUCAAUCACAUUGCUGUCACAGCACCAUUAGGUCUCAGUUGUUACCUUACGUUUAUGGAUUAUAGUUUAAUGUGCUUAUCUGGUACUGGCCCUGACUCAGUACAUGCUAUCAUGACAGACAGACAUCUCAACACUAGUGUCUAAUCAGAACUGAAAAACAGUCAGUCUGCUGUUGUGUCAGUCUUCUCGCUUCCACCCAGGACGCGUCUUUUUCCCCCCGGAAAGUUGCAAAAUCGCAUUGUGCUUAAUGUGUAUAGUCAGGCGCGUCAAAAUUUGCCUCUGAAUAUUUCGUAAUUUCGUUUUUUAUAUUCGCAUUGGCCCCCGUGUGUAAGGACCUUAAGAGUAAAAUACUGUGUUAUGCAACUGAUAUUGCUAACAACAGCUAAAAGCAGCUAACAACGGCUAAACAUUAUAACAGCAGGUGCCUAUCUUGGUUUCCAGACUUGUUUUCCGGAACGCCAUCAACUCCGUUAAAACCAGCUACAAAAGAGAGGCCAAUCCAAACCCUAUCAGCUGUAAUAACAACAACAACAACCAAAGAGAAAGAGCUGAUUUUAAGGCCCUGAAGUAAAACACCCUCAUUCUGCCAAAAACCACUCACUGGUCCUAUAGCUGCUUUGUGUUGCCUACUUACACACUCACCCUGAUGCUGCUGCAUUGAGGCUGAGAGAGGCACAAAAACACCUCACCUCAAAUUCAGAGUGCAAAAGAGUUAAAAGGACCACGCAAAACAUCUCAUGCCACAGCGCUGUUUGAGUGUAAAUGAGCCAUCUUACAAUCAAUCCGGCCCCCUUGUCUGCAAAUGAACCUCAUUGCUUUAAGAAUAGUGUGCUGCUUCUGCGUGAUUUCCGCAGGGUGGAAGCUUUCAUACAAACCGUUCAAUUUGAAUCAUGAAUAGAUGUAAACAGCAGGGGCCCACUCACUCUGUAAUCACGUUUCAGGUUCACUCAUAAGGCAGGAGGUUUCCUGCAUCCAUAAACACUCUGGAUCUGAAUAGUUGAAUUAGAUUCCAUCGCAGAAACUCAAGGCUGCAGAGUGCAUUCAUGUACAGUAAGAAAGCUCUGGAUGUGUUGGACAAAAACAGCAAUAAAGUCAAGUUAGGAAGUCCAACAUUAUAAAGUAUCUGCAGCUCUAAGCUUCUUAUUUAUUCAUAGCCACUCAAUAAAUCCACAGCACUGCAACCGGAGACCGUAAGAGUCAUUUCUUUAAACUCUAUUUUAAAUCUGUUUACUCUCUUUGUGCUCUCACAAUGGAAAACUAAAAGAUCUACAAACUGCUGACCGUGACGUUGGCACACCAUGCUGCCUCAGCAACUCACAAACAAACAUCAGCAGGGAAAGCAUCACAAAUGGCUGCUGAAGAAAGCAAAGGGUACAAAUUAAGUGGACGAUGCAUGACACUGAGGUGUAGAAGUUAAAUAAAGGUCUUAACCUGACCUCUGUGUGUGUGUUUUGUGAUGAUAGCGGACGUCAAACGAUGAGUAAAUCAGCUACAAAGCUUUAAAAUUUCCCAUGGAUUAAAGGGUCAUUUCAAAAAGCUCAGUGAGUCUCUGUUUUUUCAUCAUUUCCACAGAACCGUGCUGAAAGUGUUUUCAACACAGCUAUCAUCAUAAGAUUAAACUUGUUUUCCUCUUUCAUCAGAAUCCUCCUCUUUCUGUUGAGACAAAUUGGUGAUUGCUCUCUUAACAGCAUUAAUCAUGCAUUAAUGUCAUUUACUCUCUCAGGUGCCGCAGGACUGAAUCCUCUUCUGCUGAACCGUAUUUAUAAUCAAGGACUCAUGAAUACGCAGAGGACCUUCUGAUUUACCUCUGAAGAUGUAAACAAGUAUAAUUAAGGCUGUGAUUAUCAACUUUAGACGAAUUAAUUACUUUUGAUGUGUGAGCGUCUCCAGGAGCUCCCCUCCAUUUAAAGAAACUCAACGCGGCUGCAUUCAAGAGUCUCACUUCAGAGUUCAGCUUAGAAAGCAGGGACGUGAUGAAGAGAUGCUUAGCUGCACAAAAUCAAACUGGGGAUCAUCUGUCAUCUGUCCUUGAAUGAUGAAAAAAUCUUGUCACAACGCGGGGUUAAAAAAUGGAAAAAGGACUCAAAAAUGCAGACUAAAAAAAAAAAGAUUUAUUGAAAAGAACUAAAUGAAAAGCAACAAAAACGUAUUUCAGAGGUCCAACUGAGAAAUCCCAAAGGCAAAAUCAAACAAAAAGCACAGGGGGAAAAAAAACUAGGGAUUCACACAUCGAGGAACAUGGUGAACUGACAGACAUAACAUACAAACACACAAUGAAGCAACAAAGACAGAGGGUAAGACAGGGACUAUAUACACACACAGGCAAACGAGCAACAGGUGAGGCUAACGAGACACAGGUGAAACUCAUGAGUGAUUAACAAAGGAGGGAAAACUAGGGAAGUAAAACCUGACUAGAAACCCAAGGAAUCAACUACUACAAAAUAAAACAGAAAAUAAACACCGAAAACUUAUCCAAAGAAUAAAGGUCCUUGCGUACCGGGAACGAUGUAUAUAUAUGACGUGAAAUUACGAAAUAUUCAGAGGCAAAUUUCGAUGCGCCUGACUAUACACAUCAAGCGCGAUGUGAUUUUGUGACUUUCCGGGGGGAAAAAAGAUGCAUCCAAGAUGGAAGUGAGAAGACUGACACAACAGCAGACUGACUGUUUUUCAGUUCUGAUUAGACUCUAGUGUUGAGAUGUCUGUCUGUCAUGAUAGCAUGUACUGAGUCGGGGCCAGUACCAGAUAAGCUCAUUAAACUAUAAUCCAUAAACGUAAGGUAACAACCGAGACCUAAUGGUGCUGUGACAGCAACAUGACUGAGUUUGAGACAGUGAAAAUACAUAUGGUAUGUUGUAUCUGAACAGGUUAGCUUAUGAGCUAAAGUUACUUAGCACAGAUGAAAGUUAAAACAAAGACGUUUAGCAAACUGUUAAAGCACACAAACCAUAGUCAUAUGAGAAGUCCGACACUAUGACUCUCCACAAGUUGUCCUUCAGGUCGUUAUCUUUGUAAUAUUUGUGUCUUUUAUCAAAAAGCUCUCUGUUCUCUGACACGUAAACGAUCAGCCAGUCGGCCAUGUUGGAUAUACCAGGGAAUGAGACGUCGCCACAACACACAAUCUGAAUGAUCAGAAGUGGACACACAGUAUCCGAAACUUUUGAAAAAUCGACGGUGAAACGAAAAAAUAAAUGCCGCAAUAUCACAGGACAGGAAAACGUCACUGAUGUGAACGUUUGUAUUGACAGGAUACAGGUUCGAAAAAAAUAUUGACGUCCAAAAUUAAUGCAGGAAAAAAAACUCUCCUGGUAUGUAAGGAUCUUUAGAGCCAGAAAUUGAGCAAAUUAUAUUUUAAAGGGUGUUUUGAUAAAAAAAAUAUAAUAAUAAUAAUAACACAGAUAUAUUAAUCUAUGAAUUCAAUUUCUGUGUUGUAAUCUCAUUGGCAGAGCGGGGCACCCUGCCAAAAACACCAUUGGGAAAACACUAAAAAUGCACUUUAAUUAAACCAGAAGAAAACUAAAUUAACAAAACAUAUCAAAAAGACUUUACAGCCAUGCCAGGAUUUGCACUUUUCAGGAGAUCCACUUUGGUUAUUUCUCAGUUUCGUGUUUUGAAACUAUCUUGCUGUAAACUUUUUUGAUUCGGUGGCCUGCUGACAUCGGCCUGAUAAGUUGCAUAUGUAUGUUUAGCUUUGACUCAAAGUACCACGGUGACAUUUUGAGUCUGUUUGACAGUAAGUGCAUUCCACAUAUGACUUGUCAACUCAGAGUUUUUGAAAGAUUGCCAUUCAGCGGUGUGGCGGGAUUAUUUUACAUCACAGCGGUGGCAGAAGCAGCUGCUAUAAAUACAAUUAAGACAAUUGAGACUUUAAGUGUUAAAGCAUGAAUCACCACUGGAUACCCGGACAGAUUUCCAUCCUGUAGGAUUUCAUUAUAGCCUGAAGAUUAUUAUUAUUUUUUUCCUCUUAGAUCUUGUCUUGAAACCAUGUACGUCAAAUGUUGAUAUGCAGCAUAAGUUGAUAAAUCUGCAGUUAUCCUCCUGAUAAUUCGUCAAAAGAUCAAGUCAAAGAAAAAAGUUUUGGUUGAUGUUACAAAAAGUAAUUUUUCUCAGACUAUCCUGAUUGUUUCUUGACUCAAAUUCCCUCUGGCUUUAGUCUGCACCUCUCUUCUCUGGUUGCACAGGUUUUAGAUGAAUGCUGGGUAAUUUCUUGCUUCCCAGUUUAAUGAAAACACUAUUUGUUUUGCUUCAUUCAGUUGCUCAGUGGCUUCAGUGCAAGUCAGUGGGUGCAGAAGUGCUGGGAGCUCCCUCUCCAGAUGGCGGCUGUGUGUGGCCCCCUGAUGAACAUGGCGCCCACGCAGGGCCCUCAG